AAGCGAGAUGUGAAAGCCCCGGGCUCAACCUGGGAACUGCAUUUCGAACUGGCAAACUAGAGUGUGAUAGAGGGUGGUAGAAUUUCAGGUGUAGCGGUGAAAUGCGUAGAGAUCUGAAGGAAUACCGAUGGCGAAGGCAGCCACCUGGGUCAACACUGACGCUCAUGUACGAAAGCGUGGGGAGCAAACGGGAUUAGAUACCCCGGUAGUCCACGCCGUAAACGAUGUCUACUAGAAGCUCGGAGCCUCGGUUCUGUUUUUCAAAGCUAACGCAUUAAGUAGACCGCCUGGGGAGUACGGCCGCAAGGUUAAAACUCAAAUGAAU
Molecule: ribosomal RNA, 325 nt
Filed under: uncultured bacterium
Lineage: Bacteria
Description: bacterial SSU rRNA
Rfam family: Bacterial small subunit ribosomal RNA
Source: RNAcentral